Molecule: ribosomal RNA, 497 nt
Filed under: uncultured bacterium
Lineage: Bacteria
Description: partial 16S ribosomal RNA
Rfam family: Bacterial small subunit ribosomal RNA
Source: RNAcentral
GAUGAACGCUGGCGGCGUGCCUAAUACAUGCAAGUCGAGCGAACAGACGAGGAGCUUGCUCCUUUGACGUUAGCGGCGGACGGGUGAGUAACACGUAGGUAACCUACCUAUAAGACUGGGAUAACUUCGGGAAACCGGAGCUAAUUCCGGAUAAUAUUUCGAACCGCAUGGUUCGAUAGUGAAAGAUGGCUUUGCUAUCACUUAUAGAUGGACCUGCGCCGUAUUAGCUAGUUGGUAAGGUAACGGCUUACCAAGGCAACGAUACGUAGCCGACCUGAGAGGGUGAUCGGCCACACUGGAACUGAGACACGGUCCAGACUCCUACGGGAGGCAGCAGUAGGGAAUCUUCCGCAAUGGGCGAAAGCCUGACGGAGCAACGCCGCGUGAGUGAUGAAGGUCUUCGGAUCGUAAAACUCUGUUAUUAGGGAAGAACAAACGUGUAAGUAACUGUGCACGUCUUGACGGUACCUAAUCAGAAAGCCACGGCUAACUACGUG